RNAcentral lists this long non-coding RNA (683 nucleotides) under Helianthus annuus (common sunflower). RNAcentral describes it as "hypothetical non coding rna". The record is from RNAcentral. Lineage: Eukaryota; Viridiplantae; Streptophyta; Magnoliopsida; Asterales; Asteraceae.
GAAGGUGGAACGCUCAAAAAGAAACAUAUACGGUUACAGUUUGGUUCUCUUAGAUCACAGAUUCAAUCAAAUCCAAUUCCUUCAAGAGUGAUCUCUGUCUAAUUCGAUAAAUCAUUGUGUGUAACCCGCAAAUAGAUUUAUCUGAUAGUUCUCAUACGAUUCAGAGAUUAAUCCAGAAACCAAAAGGAGGUUGUUGGAGAUGUGGCAAACUGGGGCAUUUCAAGAAAUAUUGUCAUGUGAAGAUUACUAGUGGAAACAAAACUAACAUAGCGGGUCCAAGUGGGUCGAAAGAUCCAAAUGCUUCACAAGAUGACAUGCUUGCAUGGUGGGUAGACUCGGGUGCUACGAGUCACGUUUGCAAGGAUCUCAAAUGGUUUGAGGAAUUUGAACCAACUGAAGAUGGAUCUGUACUAAGGAUGGGAAAUGUUGCAACUGAGCCCAUUAAAGGAGUUGGAAAAGUUAGACUUGUAUUCACGUCUGGAAAACACUUGUUGUUAGAUAACGUGUUGUAUGUACCGGGGAUUCGAAAGAACCUCUUAUCUGGAAUUGUGCUAAACGGUUGUGGUUAUAAACAAGUCAUUGAGUCGGAUAAGUUUAUCUUGUCCCGACAUGGAACCUUUGUUGGAUUUGGAUACUUAUGUAAUGGUAUGUUCAUGCUUAAUAUUAAUGUCCCGUUUGCUGUU